GGUGGCUUUAAGUGGUUAGAGCUUGGGCCUCGGAUGUGGGAGGUCGUGGGUUCGAACCCCGGCUGAGCCA
Molecule: non-coding RNA, 70 nt
Organism: Potamilus streckersoni
Lineage: Eukaryota; Metazoa; Mollusca; Bivalvia; Unionida; Unionidae
Source: the annotation of a GenBank genome assembly